ACUUUUAAUGGACAACAGUGAUCCGA
RNAcentral lists this transfer RNA (26 nucleotides) under Agama spinosa. RNAcentral's name for it is "partial tRNA-Leu". The record is from RNAcentral. Lineage: Eukaryota; Metazoa; Chordata; Lepidosauria; Squamata; Agamidae.